RNAcentral lists this small RNA (29 nucleotides) under Bombyx mori (domestic silkworm). RNAcentral describes it as "ovarian small RNA-27267". The record is from RNAcentral. Lineage: Eukaryota; Metazoa; Arthropoda; Insecta; Lepidoptera; Bombycidae.
UCCCGAAGCAGUCAUGCCCCGAGAGGACC